Octopus bimaculoides (California two-spot octopus) is the source of this 751-nucleotide long non-coding RNA. NCBI's taxonomy places the organism in Eukaryota, Metazoa, Mollusca, Cephalopoda, Octopoda, Octopodidae. The record is from RefSeq and is a predicted model, not a curated record.
CACGACUACUUUGAAAAUAUAAGAAUUUUGUAAAUGGAGAGAGAAAUUUGUUUCUCUUUAAAAGCGUUUUAUUGUUCUGAAGCGUUUUAUUCUUGAGAUGGUGCGAAUUCUACAAUGCUAGUACACAAGACGCGUCUUUUGUGAUAACAUCUGUGAAAAUUAUAUUCUUUGUUAUUUAAAUGUCAACUCGUCUGCCUUUGAAAGUUGUUAUCAAUUAUUUUUAUCUUUACGUCAGAAAAUGAAACUGCGUAAGAGUUAGUUGCAUACAUUUGUCUAUGAGAAAAUAAUAUUCACGUCUCUUUAUUUCUCCAUUAUGAUUAUGUUCUUAGAUUUUUUUUUAAAUAUGUGAUACACAGAUAAACGCUUUCGGAUAUACGGCAAACACUUUUAACUAUUUCAAACAUGGAGGGAAUUCGAACACAUUGCCUACAAUAUUAUUCUGUGUUGGUACAGCUACGUUCAUAAAGUUUUAACAAAUCUUAAAACGUUGUUCAACAACUUCGCAUUUAUAUGUACGAAAAGAUAACUGCAAUACACUUGAAUAAGCUGUAGAUUUUAAAAUUACUUACUGUGUACACGUGUGCAGACUUGCGACCUAGAAUAUCAUACUGAUGAUGGAAAUGAAGGUUUUUACCAUUCUAAUCCAGAAACGCGUCUAUGAUUAACUAAGACUGAUUCUAGAUUCAACGUGAACCAGUACAUAGAGGACAUGAAGAGGAGGAUACAACGAGGGAAAACGUAGUCCAGGCUG